ACGGCUCUUCUGCUACUGCUAGCAUCAUAUCAAUGUACUGCUUUUUGGCAACUUUUAGUUACGUUUGAACGCGUACUGCCACAGCUCUCAGUGCUGCAAACAGGAGAGGAUUGUUUCCCUAGCCUGUGCAGAGGGCUGGCAGCACACCUAUCCCUCUGUGUACCCAUAGCUGCACACCCUUCCCUCAGCACUCACCCUUACCCUUGGCUCCCAACGGCGCGGCCUGGCACGCAGGCUGUGCACAGGGCUCGGCAGGAAUAUCCCAGAGCUGGUUUCUGUGUACCUGAGAGGCCACUGCUGGCUCCUUCACCUUUAUGGUUCCCUUCAUUUCGACCCCUCAGAAACUCAGAUCCCAGAGCUACUGACAAACCAGAAGACUUUGCACUCUUUGCUGAACCUUCUUUGCCUUCUCUGCCACCCAGAGAGCCUGGGAGCCUGCUCUGUGUGGACUUCACCCAGUGUCACAGGUGACACUUGUCACUGUCCUUUUUUUAGUAUGUGGGGGAAAACAAUCCUCCGUCAGUCUGAGAAUGCUUUACAUUCAAACAGGAAGAACAUAGUUUUGCAUGAGGAAACCUUCAAAUAAAUAAAUUGUCGAGAAUUUCCUACAAAAUCAUGCCUGGACACUAUUUCUUCUCUGACAGAGGGACUCAGGCAGUAAACAGAGGUACAGAAUUUGACAGCAAUGACCUUCUAUUGCAACAUACCAGCUCUGUGUAAUACUUGGAGUAAAGUAAUUUCAGUAAUAUCAGAUGCACAGUGAGCACACAAGCUGUCCCUACUGCCAGCUUAGCUUUGCUGGCUGUCA
Molecule: non-coding RNA, 808 nt
Organism: Cyanistes caeruleus (blue tit)
Lineage: Eukaryota; Metazoa; Chordata; Aves; Passeriformes; Paridae
Source: RefSeq, a predicted model, not a curated record